UAGGGAAUCUUCCACAAUGGGCGCAAGCCUGAUGGAGCAACACCGCGUGGGUGAAGAAGGGUUUCGGCUCGUAAGGCUCUGUUGUUAAAGAAGAACACGUAUGAGAGUAACUGUUCAUACGUUGACGGUAUUUAACCAGAAAGUCACGGCUAACUACGCGCCAG
Molecule: ribosomal RNA, 164 nt
Filed under: uncultured bacterium
Lineage: Bacteria
Description: partial 16S rRNA
Rfam family: Bacterial small subunit ribosomal RNA
Source: RNAcentral